CGUGUUUAUCUGGAUUUAGUCCGAAAAUUGUGGAUAGAGAUUCAAUUCAAUUUGUAAAUUAAUAGAAUCUAAUUGUAGAUUUCAAUUAAAUACCUACAGAUUCGAUCGACAAAUUCAAAAAAAAAAAAUUAAAACAUAAAUAACUAAGAAUGUAACCUAAUUAGAGUCAAAAUCCUAUUUUUCUCUCCCUUUUCAAUUGGCAUACUUCUCACCGGCUCAUUCUCUCUUCUCACUGUCAUCCAAUACAACCAUUGUCCAUCAUUUGCGUUGCGUUGUUGGAAUAGUCGAUCCUUUGCGCCAUUGGAAUCAUCGGAAUCACCGAACCUCACUCUUUUUCCUCAGUCACUGGAAUCGAAGCUUAUCCCCCUCUCUCUGCUGACUUCUCAGAUUUCUCCAUCACGUAUGUUCUUCACCAGUGCUGUGUCGAUUCCCAGCUUUUCUAUCUCUUGUGUUCCUCAUCGGCACCGCCUCGAUUCGUUGUUUCCUGUUCACAUCUUUGAUCGCGUUCUACAUCUAAUCGGGUUCUGCUUCGCCUUUUGCAUUCUACUUUUCCUUCUCUGCAUUUUCUAUAAUGCUGCGAUUUAAUAAUUACAAUCGAGGUUCCCGUCUUGGCUCUCUCCAUAACUAAAUUAGUUAAUUAGAAACCUUUUUCUUUUUUU
This 659-nucleotide long non-coding RNA is filed under the name Arachis ipaensis. RNAcentral describes it as "long non-coding RNA (AIPA_LNC000633)". Lineage: Eukaryota; Viridiplantae; Streptophyta; Magnoliopsida; Fabales; Fabaceae. The record is from RNAcentral.